This 344-nucleotide unclassified non-coding RNA is filed under the name soil metagenome. Its description in RNAcentral is "partial contains 5.8S ribosomal RNA, internal transcribed spacer 2, and large subunit ribosomal RNA". The stretch from base 1 to 120 matches the Rfam family "5.8S ribosomal RNA", at positions 35 to 154 of the family's 154-position model. The record is from RNAcentral.
GAUGAAGAACGUAGCGAAAUGCGAUAAGUAAUGUGAAUUGCAGAAUUCAGUGAAUCAUCGAAUCUUUGAACGCACAUUGCGCCCGCCAGUAUUCUGGCGGGCAUGCCUGUUCGAGCGUCAUUUCAACCCUCAGGGCCCUUUUGGACCUGGCGUUGGGGCUCGGCCGCUACCCUGCGGCCGUCCCCGAAAGAUAGUGGCGGUCUCGCUGUAGCCUCCUCUGCGUAGUAGUUACAUCUCGCACUGGAACGCGGCGCGGCCAUGCCGUUAAACACCCCACUUCUCAAGGUUGACCUCGGAUCAGGUAGGAAUACCCGCAGAACUUAAGCAUAUCAAUAAGCGGAGGA